RNAcentral lists this unclassified non-coding RNA (5912 nucleotides) under Hevea brasiliensis (rubber tree). Lineage: Eukaryota; Viridiplantae; Streptophyta; Magnoliopsida; Malpighiales; Euphorbiaceae. The record is from RNAcentral.
GAAUAAUACAAGCAUAAAGCAUUUUUUUUCCCAUUUUUUAUCCAUAAUCCGUACAACGAAAUGCAAAAAUACAAAGUCCAGUACAUGGAUUGUCUUGAGAAAACGACUCAAUAAUUUAACCAAAAUUCCCAAACUUCUGCAAAUAUGAAUUUUUACAAAUCUACAGAACCUGGUUCUUACAGAAAGAAAUUUAAUUCCAAAAUAUAAAUCGGUAUCGAAUCACCUAAAAUGCAUUUCUUUAUGCACAAUACCAUAACUUCUACCCUCAGCUUCUAAGCUGAAUCAUUUGGCAAUUGGCAACACAUAAGCUGUACACUGAUCAUCUCAUUCAUCACCUACUUAAGUAUCAGACAUCUCCCGGAACCGAGCAAGUGCCUUCUUAUGAAUGAGAGUUUUAUAACUAUCCCCAGCCUGCACCUCAAGACUAGGAUCCAAUUUCUUCUGCCGACUCCCAAGUCCUGCUCGAUUCUCCAUGGCUUUUGCUUGUACUGGUUCUAUCAUUCCACUUCCAUCCUUCCCCAAUCCCUGUCAAUCACAUCAUAUAUAAAAGGAAGAGGGAAUCCCCAGAAUGGAAAUGUAAGAAUCAAGUUGCAUAAUUGUUUCAAAAGAGGACCAAAAGGCCACCAUUCAACAUUGCAAUAUACGCUUGUAACGUAUGAGAAGAUAUUACACCUGUAGACCAGAGAAAAUAACAUGCAAAAGGCACAAUUGUAAUAAUGAAAAAAGCUCAUCUAAGGAUACUUUCAUAGGUAUGGGAAGUUUUGGUUUUAACAGGAUAUGUCUAUUCAACCAUAAGAAAAAGGCUUCACAAGACGCAUUCUAUUUCAUGAGCAUACCAAGCACACCAACAGAAGUCAACCCAUAAAUCAGCAGAUAAAAGAGUGCAUAAGAAGGGAAGGUACCAAGCCUUCAUGCCAGCCCAUACUGCGGAGCAUUCUAUUGCCCACAUUGCUCUCAUCAAUAGCCCUGUCUGCUGUAAUCACCUCAUAACUCUGAGCAUUGACGUUUACAUCUCCAGUCCCAAGUCCUCCACCAACACCAGGUGGGAAAGGCAUUGAAUCUGAAGAACCCUUUUUGAAUGGCAAAUCCCGAUCUUCAAAGUUCAAGAACGAUAAACACAAAGGAUGCCUCACAAGUUAAUGGUGAUAAUGAGAGAUACAAGCAAUGGACCCAUCGACUUGGACAACUGAAAAUAUUAUUAUAAAACUAAGAUUUGACAGACAUCCCAGGCCAUGAUCACUAACAAGGAAGAUACAUGUCUUUUGUUCUUUGUAAUAUGCAAUAAAGGUGUCUAUCUGAAACAAAUUAUCAAACAUACUUACCUGAAUCCCCAAACCCAAUAUCAGGCCGAUCAUCUCCCAUAGAAGAUGAUGAACCAUACAAACUCCUCCUUUCAGCUGCACGAUCCCUGUAGGUAGACUGAGAAUUCUCCUUGUGAGCAGAAGCCGAAGAAAGCGGCAUCUCAGAAAACCUCCUCUUGCCACUCCCAGUGGAUGCAGGUGUUGCGUAAGAACCCAAUGCUGAUGCAUCUGUCCUGAAGGGAGUCAUGAUUGCAGAUGUAUCUGCAUUUGUUGAUGAACCAGCAGUAGCAGUGAAGGUAGAAACUCCACUGGAUGAUCCUGAAUAUGAAGCAUCAGAUUUCACAACACCUCGCCCAGAGCCCCUUAUGACCCCCAUCAGAGUUCCCCCUGAGCUAUUACUUACAGGUCUUGGCUUGACUGGAGAGUCCAAACCAGCCUGGGCAACUGUGGUGCUUAUGAUAAUUCCUGAAGGGGACACAGCACUCUCCUUCGUGGUCAUCGCAUCAGAUUUGAACUUGCUCUUUGUGGCUUGUCCAACCGAAAAAGACCUGUCAUCCGCUAAACCAGAUGGCUGAUUGUCAUCAACAGUAACACGAGUUGCUUGCCCUUCAUGACUCCUCUGCUUCCACAUUGUCAACACAUUGUUCAUUUUCUUCUUGCUAGCCAAAAGACUGCUUUUUGAAGCAAGCUUUAUCUCUUUAGACUUCUCCUUCUCUUUCUUCUCUGCAGCUAAUGCUGCUGUAGCAGCAGCCUGGACUGCAUCAGGUAAUGAAGCAACCUUCUCAGCAGAUGUAAUAGUGGCAGCUGGUGCUGAGAUUAUUACUUUUCUAUUAUUGGAAGUAUCUGAUGGCUUGGAAUGCUCAGACAGUUUAUCAGAAGUCUGAUUGUCAUUCUGAUCCGUGCAAGGGAUAUAUUGCUGAGUUUGGUGGUCAAAGGAAUACCAGAUCCCACUGUUACCAUCAUAAUAAAGGCCUGUAUUUCCAUCAUAGUAGAACCCAGAAGCAGCAUCAUAGUAAUAACCAGAUGCUUCAUCCCAUACAAAGCCAGAUUGUGGAGCAGAACCAUCCUUCUGAACCGCUGCCUCCCCACUAGUUUGCUCCGGCCCACUGGUAGAUUUGUCAUCUGGGUUAUACUCCUUUGGUGCCCAUCCAACAACAUCGUACUAAGAAAAGAGAUGGGGCAAAGAUUUUAAUCAAUUUUAUAACUGACAUAUCAAAAAGAUAGAAAAAGCAAGCAGAAAAAUUAGUGGUAACGUAGUACAAAUACCACAAAACCAAACAUAACUAUUAAUAGGCUAGAGAGAGUAAAAGGUGGCCAAGUUGGAUAAAAGAAAAUCUGCAAAAUCUCAAAUAUCAUCCAGUUGACUGCAAGUUAAGAACCAUUAUCCAGAUAAUUUCUUUCCAAUCAGUUAACCACAUAAAUCCAAAUAUUUGUGAUGCACAGAGGAAGUUACAAAGAAUAAUUCCAAGCACAAAUGGUAGUCGGACAUGUUGCAUCCAAGGUAGAUAUUUGAGAAAUUUAUAUGUAUUAACUAGCUAGCAAAAAAAGGAUUCGUAAUAUAGCUUGCACUGUAAUGUAAUAAGAUACAACUCUUGUGAAGAAGGGUUUUUUUUUUUCUGAUAUCGCAUUUGUGGAUAUGUAAGCUACAGUGGAUCAUUUUUCCCUGUAAAUGAUUAUCUAUGAUGUGUGGGUCCAGCUUGCUCCUUUGGUGCCCCUUUAUACUAUCUUUUUCUACUGGUUUAUUCCCAGUAAAAAUUACAGUACAUAUCACUAAAUCUUACAAAAAGAAACCAAAAAAUUGAGGGAAAACAUGUGAACACCUGUUGAGCAAAUGCUGCCGCCUCAAUUGCGGCAGCCGCAAGGCUGCUUGAUUGUGAAGGUCCCGAUGCCCCAGAUCCUGGACCAAUAAUGCUCUUUGCAUAUGCUACCCUUAAUAUCUGUCCAUUCUUCUCAAGAGCUGUUCCAUUAGUUGCUUCAAGAGCCUUAGUGGCAUCUUCAACUGAAUGGAAAUGCACAAAUGCAAAUCCCCUUGAAACAUGAGUAAAUUUGUCUCGAACAAGACGAAGAUCCUUAAUUGGAGCAUGUUUAGAAAACUCAUAACGAAGCAUCUCCUCAUCAGCAUUUUCAUCCAAUCCGCGAACAACCAAUACAUGAGUAGGACCUGCCUCAAAUCCUUUCCUUCCUAAAGAAGUUGGAUUUGACAAAGCUACAUCUGCCGGUGGUGCAUCUUCAGUUCUUGGCUCAUUACACUGAAAACAGGAUGUUCGCCGCGCAAAAUUGACACAACCACAGAUGGUGCACAUCCAAUCAGAUGGUACUGUAAUGCUUCUAUGGUUGAUAUGGCCCGAUUUCAUAGCAUUUUCUUGGCCAAAUGGUCCCCCUGCCCCCCCAGUUGGCUUACUAUACUCGAAGAACAGUUUCCUGCCAUCCACAACAAGACCAUCAUCCCCAAUCCUAUCCAUCAUAGCACAAGCUGCAUUCACAGAUGGAAAAUCAAUAAAAGCAAAUCCACGAGAAAUGCCAGAAUUCCGCUCUUUGAUCACACGGACAUGGCGAAGGGGACCCCAUUCAGCAAGCAUCUGAUACAAGUCUUCCUCAGUUGUCUUCUGAGAUAGACCUUUCACAACAACAGUUGCAGAUGGUGCCACUGUGUAGUUGCCUCGUUGACGCUUCUCCUCAUGAUCUCUCCACCUUUCAGUCCUCUCAUGUUGACUUUCAUUGUAGUUGUUUUCCCGUUGACUUCGCCCAUGACUCCGACCUCGAGGGGACCUUGAUCUAAGACGAUCAUCACGUCCACGAGAACGAGAUCGUUCAUGCCGUUUAUGUGGACUCUUAUCUCUUUCCCAACUCAAACCUCUCUUAUUACGUUCUCGAUCACGAGACUCAUGCUUCCUCCAAUUUCCCUCUCUCUUACUGCUUCCCUCAUAGUCUGAAUCAUAACUAUGUCGACCAUAUUCAUAAUCUCUAUCAUGGCUGUCCUCCCUAUUUUUACUGGAAACAUGAGGCCUGUAAUCAUAGUCAUCAUAUGCAUAAUCAUCUCGAUCACGUCCCCCAAACCUAGCACCCCUGUCAAACCCAUGAUCAUAAUAGUUUUCCGUGUUGCGAUAGCCAUCACGGAACUUAUCAAGUUCCUGGUAUGAAUCAAUCUCACGAUCACGAAAAGUAUCCAUCUCAUGGUAAGAACCCACAUAUGUUUUCUCAUGUCUCCUUGAAUCUCUGUCAAGGGGAUACUCUUCUUCAUAACUUCGCCUUCUUGACUGAGGCCAAAGACCAACAGCAGGAGGUGGUGGAUAGUUUUCCCUCUCUAGAAUGUCCCGGUCAAAAGCAUUUCUUUGGUAGACAUUAUCCCUUGUGUAUCUUUCAUCAUGAAACCUCCUAUCAUCAUAUGAACCACCAACCCGAUAGUUUGGCUCAUGGACUCCACCAUACCCCUCCAGAGCCUGUGGAUUCAAGAGAAUGAGCUAUGUCAGCAACAAAUAUCAGUCAUGAUAGAGGUUAGGCAAAUCCAUUCCAUAUCCUCAGUGGCCCCAGAGCUUUCUCUUAUUUUUCUUUAUGAUGAGAUACCCCAAAAAAAAUGGACUACCACACGAGCCCUAAAAAUUUCUUGUAUUAACAUCCCAUAUAUGUGAUUAUUAAGGAGGAAACCACAAUUACGCUGUUAUUAUCCCAUCCUUGCUGGAGACCAUAGCGACCAGGAUCCAUUUCCUUGCAUGCAAAAAACUGCUGGUGAAACCCCCCUGCCCUGCAAGGCUCUCGGUGAUUGCUCACAAUGUUCUAAAUCCCUUCCUGUAAUAUAUGCACAAACAGACACAGUUAUAUCACAGCAGAUCAGAAAGUGCAAUUACUCCCAUGCGUUUGACCUUGGCCUCUUCUUUUACAACUUGAAUCCUCAAAAAAAAUCCUCUCCACAAAGUCAGAUAACACCCAAUUCUCCAAUUCUCUAAACCCAAAAAUCUGAUUCUUUCAACACACAAAUAGAAGCAUCUUGAUAGCAGGAAACCAUCCGCUAAAUAUGACACAAAUAUGAGCCAGGCGAAGCAAUUUAAAUACGAACAGUACACCAAAAAGGAAACUUAAAUACGAACAGUGCAAGUAAAUACCAAAACAAUCAAAAUGUUAUUCGAUUCCCAAAACACAAUAUCAACUGCACAAAACUUAACUGCACAUAAUGUGAUUAUUAAUGAUUUUCUACGAAACAAAAAUAAACAAUUUUAUGCAUGAAAAUUUUCAGGAUUACAUAAAAAUUAACAGAAAAUAAAAAUUCAUUUGGAAAUUAUAUUCGCUCUAAAAUAGAUUGCCACCAGACCCUUCGAUCGUGAAAACUCUUAUCAAUAUCUCAGCCUAUCUAUUUCAUACUUUACAUAUACAUCCUUAGGACAAUCAAUAAGAAGAUUAAAAUCAGAGAGUAGCGAGUCGAUUAGAAAACCAUAAAUCGGGGAUGGCAUGAACGACGACCAUAGGCAUACCUAAAACGUGACGAGAGUAUGGAUCUGUCCAGAGGUUCAGUUUUUCUUUCUCGUCAACCUUUUCUUGAUCUGGCUUUUCUUCUUCGGUUCUUCUCGUCUUCGUUCUCUGCAAGUCGUUGUUUAGGGUUUCUAUGUAGAUAUACAU